Molecule: unclassified non-coding RNA, 329 nt
Filed under: soil metagenome
Description: partial contains 5.8S ribosomal RNA, internal transcribed spacer 2, and large subunit ribosomal RNA
Rfam family: 5.8S ribosomal RNA (bases 1-120)
Source: RNAcentral
GAUGAAGAACGCAGCGAAAUGCGAUAAGUAAUGUGAAUUGCAGAAUUCAGUGAAUCAUCGAAUCUUUGAACGCACAUUGCGCCCCUUGGUAUUCCGAGGGGGAUGCCUGUUCGAGCGUCAUUAUAACCCCUCAAGCUCAGCUUGGUGUUGGGGCCUGCUGCACUGGCAGCCCUUAAAAUCAGUGGCGGCGCCAUCUGGCUCUAAGCGUAGUAAUUCUUCUCGCUAUGGAGUCCUGGUGGAUGCUUGCCAUCAACCCCCAAUUUUUCUAUGGUUGACCUCGGAUCAGGUAGGGAUACCCGCUGAACUUAAGCAUAUCAAUAAGCGGAGGA